Molecule: long non-coding RNA, 617 nt
Organism: Manacus vitellinus (golden-collared manakin)
Lineage: Eukaryota; Metazoa; Chordata; Aves; Passeriformes; Pipridae
Exons: 3
Source: RefSeq, a predicted model, not a curated record
CGGAGCUGUGCCUUUGAGCCAGUUAGCCGUUCCCCUCAGGCUCGAGGCUGCAAACCUUUGUGAGGAGAGGCCAGGAACGCACCUGUCAGGUGAAACGAUGCUGAGGGUUGUCGUUCCCAGCGGGAGUUGCACUUGAACCGUACAAGAGCAAGCUGAAGUCCUGUGCCGUGCAGAACUCUGCCAAGGUUUUCUGUCUCGUUAAACCAAGUGGUGUGACGAGUGUGAAGGAUUUUCCCAUGGCAGAGGUGUGUAAUGUGAAGUAAAAGGUUACGACAUGCAUCAGCUCAUGGAAGCGGAUGCCAAAUGCCCGUGGAGUCGCUGAAAGAAUAUUUAUCAACAUUUCUCUCUCCACCACAUUUCCAAAAAAAUCUCAACAGGAAAAAAGACCUGCAGCCUCAUUAUUAUGUCAGUGUAACUUGUGCCAUGAGGAGAUCAAGCAGGCAUGUCAGUGUGGGACUGUCAGCGUGAAGAGACCAACUGUGGCUGUGUGUGCAAGCAAGUUCUGGGCACACCAUGUCAGAGGGACUGCUGAGGUUCUUCCAGGCUGCUGAAAUGCCCUUUUUUUCCUCCUUUUUUUUUCCUUUUUUUGAUGGAUGAGUAAAUUAUUAGGAUGUGGA